AUUCCUGUAGGUAAACCAAAUGAGGCUGAGAAAGAAUGGCGAUGGCUAUUUCCAACUCCAAAUGAUCCUCGACUAAUGGACCUUUGCAAUGAAUUUCCUUGACUUGACCGUCUAAAGGAUUCUGAAGAAAUCUCUGAUCCUUUAUUCUCAUCCGCAGCUUGUUCCGAAUCUUGAUUUAUUUCUUGUAACCGAAUAAGCUGAGAGUAUGCUCCAUCA
RNAcentral lists this unclassified non-coding RNA (216 nucleotides) under Hevea brasiliensis (rubber tree). Lineage: Eukaryota; Viridiplantae; Streptophyta; Magnoliopsida; Malpighiales; Euphorbiaceae. The record is from RNAcentral.